Molecule: long non-coding RNA, 566 nt
Filed under: Macaca mulatta (Rhesus monkey)
Lineage: Eukaryota; Metazoa; Chordata; Mammalia; Primates; Cercopithecidae
Description: lncRNA (ENSMMUG00000060811.1)
Source: RNAcentral
AUGGUGCUGGAGCCUGUGCCGAUGAGCCCGUUAGGGGAAAUGGAGGCUCCCAGGCACGAUGAGCUGUCCCAGGCCAUCUCACCAAGACGGGGCCCGAAUGCUCCCGUGAAGCGUGAAGCGCAGUGGGGAAGGCAGCGGGACGCUACACUGACUUCUUCCCUUGCAAAGGCGCAGGAUGAAUCUGCUUGGAGCAAGGCGGGCAGAAGAGGUCUUCCUAAGAAGUCUUCCGCGGGGAGCGGUGGGCCUCUGGGAUGCCCAAGGUCUCUGCCAUCACCCUCUGGUCUCUACGCUUUCAGAGGAACUGGCAGGUCAGGGAUUGCAAAAGAAACAUCCCCCAGCCGAUCAAUAAAUAAUAAUGUUGGAGAAUUUAAAAUAAAAAUCUGGAUUAUUAAAGUUACAAAUCUUUGGUCUUUAUACCUUUAAUAAAACAUGCGUCUAUUAAUAAUGAAUACUGGUUCUGGCCUGCUUAGGCUGAAAGGGAGAAAAAAAUGACCAGUCAAAAGAUGCUCAUAUUUUUUCUCCUUACCCAGUUUGGCUGCCAAGAUGCUGCAUCCCUGACAAAUGGC